Long non-coding RNA from Triplophysa dalaica, 300 nucleotides. RefSeq lists it as uncharacterized. The record is from RefSeq and is a predicted model, not a curated record. NCBI's taxonomy places the organism in Eukaryota, Metazoa, Chordata, Actinopteri, Cypriniformes, Nemacheilidae. The transcript has 3 exons.
UCAGGCUAGAUGCACUGUCAGCGGCGCAUGCGCACUCCGACACAUGCACUGUCAGCGGCGCAUGCGCACUCCGACACAUGCAGUCUCAGCCGCGCAUGCGCAUUACAUCAAACUGUCAGACACGUGUGUGAAUUAAAUGCACCUACAGGCCAAUUGCAUGGAAAAUUGUUUGCUCACUAUACUGAGGAGUCCAAAGCCUUCCUUAGUGGUGAUCAGCAGCCUGUAUAUAGGUUGCAAAAAAGGAAGGUGGAAGAAAUCUCUCAGGAAGAGCCUUUUGACGGACAGGUAACUUCUCAGGUA